CUAGGAUUUCAACAUAUGAGUUGGGGGGAGAGGCAGCACAAAUAUUCAGUCCAUGGCAGUGGGUCUAUAAAUAACCUGACUCUCCAACCACAAGAGGAUGUAAUUUAGAAGAUGUUCCUUGGUUUGACUUGGGGAAGAGCUCAGGGUUCUCUGGAACUGAACACAGGAUGCCCGACUGUGCUUGAAGGGGAACUGGCCUGGGAUUCAGGGCUCUCUGCAGGGCUCUUGCAAUGAUGACAUCACUGCUGGCUGUGCUCAACUGCUGUCCCUGGAAGCUGCUGGCUUCACUCUCAUUACAAUUAGCAUGGUUCCUCGUUCCUCGGGAAGCCUGCUUUUACCUUGAAGCACUUCCAGACUGGGCGAUCAAAGUGCAUGGGAGCUGCUAGCAGCAGAUGGAUUUCUAAAUUUACCAGGGAAAGGCUGUCCCAUGAUGUUCACUGAACCUGGAAAACACCUGGAGGUGGAAACUGUUGUAUGACAAGAAUACACUCCGGUCGGGUUUGUUUAUUAAGCCCAAGAUAUUGGCUGGCCACUGGUCUUGUCCCAUUGGGUUUGCGCUGCAGGAAUAGCUGGGAGGGAUGGAGAGCAAUCAUUUCCACUCCAUGAUGUCAUGGUGACCAGUGUUGGAUCAGACAAUGCCAUAAAAUCAUGGGGAAACUUCCAUAUAAACACAGGACAAAUAUAUAUCAAGAUGCCGUAAACUGAUGGGGCAGGUGGACACGUCCUGUCUAGCGGCUCAGAGCUUCCAUCUGGGGUGCAGAGUAGACCCGGGGUGACCUUGUUUCCUUUA
Canis lupus familiaris (dog) is the source of this 790-nucleotide long non-coding RNA. RefSeq lists it as uncharacterized. NCBI's taxonomy places the organism in Eukaryota, Metazoa, Chordata, Mammalia, Carnivora, Canidae. The record is from RefSeq and is a predicted model, not a curated record. The transcript has 3 exons.